AUUUAGCCUCUCCUAUGUAGUUGAAAGUUGAAACACGCAUUUUAAAAGCCUUUCUCGUUUUUGAAUCUCAAUAGUUAUCAAUCGGUAUUUUCAGAUGCAUGUAUGUGUAUUAUUAUAAUUUUAAUUAUUCUCACUUAAAAUGGGCUUUAUUGAUCCAGUUACCAGCCAAAAGAAGAUUUUGCUACACCUUCAAGGGUUCACAACCUAGGAAUGAAAUCUCCACACUUUUCAGGAAACACAAAUUCCAACAUGCCACCUAACAUUCAUGGCUGUAGUUCUAUCCAACAAAACCAUUUGAUCAUUCCUCCAAGAGUUCAUUCUGACAUCAAUUCGGAACAUAAAGCAACAAACACGGUACAGAAACAGCUUAAGCUUGCAUCUAAAGGAGUUAGCUCCGUCGAUGUUGCAAAGCUAUUGUUGCCUUCUCCUACUACGCCAAAGGAAGGCACGACCAAAGUUGGUUCAUCCUCUUCUGACCAAAGUACAUAGUACAUCUGGAACAAAUCAAACCUUGGUGGAAAUUCCAAAGGGAAUUAACUUUCUUGCUUUUGGGAAAGAUCCUGUGUGCAGUUUUAAGAGUUCUAUUAACUCCCUUGUAAAUGGGGAAAAUAGUAUUGAUCUGCUCCAGAAUAUAAGUUUCAGUUUGCUUGAUCAUACUAGUUCAACCUUAAAAGAUGCAACAAAAGGAAGGGUACCACAGACUGAUUUAGUCUCCAGUGAGAUUUCUGGUAAAAAUCAAUCCGCGGCAGAAAGUAUAAAAUUGAGUUUUUACAGGGAAAGCUUCAAUGAAUGAUAUGCUUCAACUGGUUUACAAGGUAGCUCUCAUGUGGAUAACAACGUAAGUAAACCAGUCCAAGAGGCAAGAGGGGCAUCUGAUUCUUGUCAAAUUCCCGCAGCAAUAUGGUUGCCAUUUAUGCGUCUGGUUUCUCCUUCAUCUUCAGAACAGCUACCAUCUAGAAAGGAGCUCUUGUCGACUGUAUUGUCAUUUGCAGCAGAGCAUGAAUCAGUUCAACUGCAUGAUGAAAGAUUCUGCUGGCACUUCAACUGCAUAAUUGGGUGAGAACUGAGAAGGAAUACAGUAAUAGCAGUUCAAGGUUGUUAGCUUCUUUCAUUAAGUGUAUUUAGGAUAUUAUUGAAUCAGUUAAUGAUAUGAUAAUUAAUUGUAUAUAUAAUGUAAUUUAUAUGCAUAUAUUUCAUCAUGCUUGUAUAAACUAAUCUUCAUCAUGUAGUCUAGACUCUUCGUGUUUUUCUUUCUUCUCACAUGGCAUCGAGAGUCAAAAGCAAAAUUUAUCGCUUUGUGGCAGUAGAGUGGAGUUUACCAAAGGUUAGAAAUGGAUUGGAUUUAGGAAUAAAAUUAGAAUUAGAAAAAGGGGUUUAAAAAUUUUGGUAGUGUUUUUGUUAGGAUUUGAUUUAUGAUGAAAGGUGCAUUGCAGAUACACAUAGACUCUUACGUAGCAAUUGUUAGUGUUUGUUUUCAGAGGCUCUGAUUGGAAGAUUUAGAGCCCGUUUGGACAAAAAGUUACUUUUUUCAACUUUUGACUUAUAAAAAAUUACAUUAAUAUGUUUGGUACAAAUUUUUAGAUAAACUUUUAACUUUUCAAAAAGUUAUUUAAGAGUUUUUGAAAAAGUUAAAAAAUAUGACUUCUCCUAUUUUCAAAAGCUAUUUUAUCACUUUUAUUUAAUGUAUAAUUUUAAAACAAUGACUUCCAUAAUAACUUUCCAAACUCAAAAUAACUUAUUUAAAAGUUAAUAUUAAUAAAAGUCCUUAUAUUUUAAACUCUUUUUUCAAAAGAACUUAUUUAAGAAGUUUAGCCAAAAUGGCCCUAUAUAUAACAACUCACUAGCAAGCAAUAGACCAUUGAAUAAAAUUCAGAUCUAGCAAAUGAGUCUUUGUUUUGCUGAAUUAGAAAAUACCAUGGAAAAAACAAACUAAUCUACCAACAUUGAAACUGAAACUUGCAGUUUUUUCUGAAUUGUAGGUUCUUGUUCUUGUAGUGUUCUUUAUUUGUUUUGUUUCUUUUGUUGGAUACCAGAGAUAAAAAAGGUAGGAGGUGUAUGAAAACUAAGUUACAAUCUCGUGUUGAAUUGCUGAUUUUGCUGGUAAGUUACAACACAUGCACAAAAUAACUGCUCAAAAUUUCUUGCCAAAGGAUUACCAAAACAAAAGAGAAGGUGUAUAAAUAACAGCCAAAAAGUUAGGCUAUACUAAUCAAAUGAAACCAAAAAUAAAAAAACUAAUGAUCAAUCAAGAUCCACUAUUUUGAAGCUAUAUUAAGUCCAGCCGUUUCCUCGAGCAGCAGCCGCUCCUUUAGCGAGUCGAGCUUCUCCUGGUUCUUAGCUCUGACUUGAGGCAAAACCUUCUCUUCAUAACCUGGAGCACUCAUAAUCUUCUCUAGUUUUUCAAUUUGCCUGUGUUUUCAAUGUGUCAAUUUAGAAGCAGUGAAUUUGGUUGGUAUUUAUAACUCGCUAUGCUAAAAUGAGUUUUCAGAAGCAGUUAGGUAUAAACUUACUUCUUAAGCUCCUAUAUUGAUUUUGAAAUUGCAGCCAUGCUCCUUUUUCGCUUGUCACUCCUGCAUGAAAGGGGAUGACUGCCCUUUUGAUCAUCAACUCUUCAAGUAUCCUUGUGUUAGCUUUGUGUUCGGAGGGAGGUUUUUGUGUUAGAGGUGAAUGCAUGCUUUUUUUCGCACCAGAUACCACAUCCACCCUAUAUCUCUUCCUGUAAAAUGCUUGUGAUUUCAAUCCAAAUACAAAGGUUUUUGUUAGCAUAUAUAAUUAGGAUAAUUAGGUUGUGCAUUAUGUGUUAGCUUUGAGGAAAAUUUCCCAAAGGGCAGCAGGUAUACAGGCACAAGAAGUUCAGGGACAGUUUUGUAAUUAAGCAGAAUCAGGAAGUGGGAGAAUUGAGUGCCCUGUUUCCCUUUGCUUGUUUCUAGUUCCCCUCUAUCUUCUCUUCAACUGUGAUCUGAGAUUCUAGGCUCAUCUGGAUGAUACUAUACUACUUCUAUUCUGUGUGUUUGUGGUUUCUUGCAUUAUUUUUUUUUGGUGACUGAAAUAAAUUAAACAAAGAAAAACAAAACAAACAAAACAAGGAACGGCCUAAAUAGAGGGACAGUCCCGUUUAAGAUUACUCUUAAACUCCUCCCAAGGUUCUUGCAUUAUGUUUUUAGUGAAAUUGUAUGUUCAUAUAUAUUUCAUUGUUUAAUACUUAGUGUCUAUGUAAUUUAGCCUCUCUGUCGGUGAAACACGCAUUUUAAAAGCCUUUUUCAUUUUUGAAUCUCAAUAGUUAUCAAUCGGUAUUUCCAGAUGCAUGUAUGUGUAUUAUUAUAAUUUUAAUUAUUCUCACUUAAAAUGGGCUUUAUUGAUCCAGUUACCAGCCAAAAGAAGAUUUUGCUACACCUUCAAGGGUUCACAACCUAGGAAUGAAAUCUCCACACUUUUCAGGAAACACAAAUUCCAACAUGCCACCUAACAUUCAUGGCUGUAGUUCUAUCCAACAAAACCAUUUGAUCA
This 3507-nucleotide long non-coding RNA is filed under the name Arachis ipaensis. Its description in RNAcentral is "long non-coding RNA (AIPA_LNC002164)". Lineage: Eukaryota; Viridiplantae; Streptophyta; Magnoliopsida; Fabales; Fabaceae. The record is from RNAcentral.